CACCUCUCAGGUUUGCACCUGGAGAGUUUCCAGGACUCUACCAGUCUUAACUGUGAGAGGGAGAGUCAAGCAGAGGCAAACCCAUUCCAUUCCUAGCUUGGGCAGUGGCUAGCGAGUGGAAGGCAAUCUGCUAUAAGU
This 138-nucleotide small nucleolar RNA is filed under the name Ornithorhynchus anatinus (platypus). Lineage: Eukaryota; Metazoa; Chordata; Mammalia; Monotremata; Ornithorhynchidae. The record is from RNAcentral.